UCGAGCGGACAGAUGGGAGCUUGCUCCCUGAUGUUAGCGGCGGACGGGUGAGUAACACGUGGGUAACCUGCCUGUAAGACUGGGAUAACUCCGGGAAACCGGGGCUAAUACCGGAUGGUUGUUUGAACCGCAUGGUUCAGACAUAAAAGGUGGCUUCGGCUACCACUUACAGAUGGACCCGCGGCGCAUUAGCUAGUUGGUGAGGUAACGGCUCACCAAGGCAACGAUGCGUAGCCGACCUGAGAGGGUGAUCGGCCACACUGGGACUGAGACACGGCCCAGACUCCUACGGGAGGCAGCAGUAGGGAAUCUUCCGCAAUGGACGAAAGUCUGACGGAGCAACGCCGCGUGAGUGAUGAAGGUUUUCGGAUCGUAAAGCUCUGUUGUUAGGGAAGAACAAGUGCCGUUCAAAUAGGGCGGCACCUUGACGGUACCUAACCAGAAAGCCACGGCUAACUACGUGCCAGCAGCCGCGGUAAUACGUAGGUGGCAAGCGUUGUCCGGAAUUAUUGGGCGUAAAGGGCUCGCAGGCGGUUUCUUAAGUCUGAUGUGAAAGCCCCCGGCUCAACCGGGGAGGGUCAUUGGAAACUGGGGAACUUGAGUGCAGAAGAGGAGAGUGGAAUUCCACGUGUAGCGGUGAAAUGCGUAGAGAUGUGGAGGAACACCAGUGGCGAAGGCGACUCUCUGGUCUGUAACUGACGCUGAGGAGCGAAAGCGUGGGGAGCGAACAGGAUUAGAUACCCUGGUAGUCCACGCCGUAACGAUGAGUGCUAAGUGUUAUGGGGUUUCCGCCCCUUAGUGCUGCAGCUAACGCAUUAAGCACUCCGCCUGGGGGAGUACGGUCGCAAGACUGAAACUCAAGGAAUUGACGGGGGCCCGCACAAGCGG
Molecule: ribosomal RNA, 888 nt
Filed under: Bacillus velezensis
Lineage: Bacteria; Bacillati; Bacillota; Bacilli; Caryophanales; Bacillaceae
Description: bacterial SSU rRNA
Rfam family: Bacterial small subunit ribosomal RNA
Source: RNAcentral